This 1440-nucleotide ribosomal RNA is filed under the name uncultured organism. RNAcentral's name for it is "SSU rRNA". It matches the Rfam family "Bacterial small subunit ribosomal RNA". The record is from RNAcentral.
UUAGCUACAGGCUUAACACAUGCAAGUCGAGGGGCAUCAGGAUGAAAGCUUGCUUUCUUUGCUGGCGACCGGCGCACGGGUGAGUAACACGUAUCCAACCUGCCCUUUACUCGGGGAUAGCCUUUCGAAAGAAAGAUUAAUACCCGAUAGCAUAAUGAUUCCGCAUGGUUUCAUUAUUAAAGGAUUCCGGUAAAGGAUGGGGAUGCGUUCCAUUAGGUUGUUGGUGAGGUAACGGCCCACCAAGCCUUCGAUGGAUAGGGGUUCUGAGAGGAAGGUCCCCCACAUUGGAACUGAGACACGGUCCAAACUCCUACGGGAGGCAGCAGUGAGGAAUAUUGGUCAAUGGGCGCUAGCCUGAACCAGCCAAGUAGCGUGAAGGAUGAAGGCUCUAUGGGUCGUAAACUUCUUUUAUAUAAGAAUAAAAUGCAGUAUGUAUACUGUUUUGUAUGUAUUAUAUGAAUAAGGAUCGGCUAACUCCGUGCCAGCAGCCGCGGUAAUACGGAGGAUCCGAGCGUUAUCCGGAUUUAUUGGGUUUAAAGGGAGCGUAGGUGGACUGGUAAGUCAGUUGUGAAAGUUUGCGGCUCAACCGUAAAAUUGCAGUUGAUACUGUCAGUCUUGAGUACAGUAGAGGUGGGCGGAAUUCGUGGUGUAGCGGUGAAAUGCUUAGAUAUCACGAAGAACUCCGAUUGCGAAGGCAGCUCACUGGACUGCAACUGACACUGAUGCUCGAAAGUGUGGGUAUCAAACAGGAUUAGAUACCCUGGUAGUCCACACAGUAAACGAUGAAUACUCGCUGUUUGCGAUAUACAGUAAGCGGCCAAGCGAAAGCAUUAAGUAUUCCACCUGGGGAGUACGCCGGCAACGGUGAAACUCAAAGGAAUUGACGGGGGCCCGCACAAGCGGAGGAACAUGUGGUUUAAUUCGAUGAUACGCGAGGAACCUUACCCGGGCUUAAAUUGCAGUGGAAUGAUGUGGAAACAUGUCAGUGAGCAAUCACCGCUGUGAAGGUGCUGCAUGGUUGUCGUCAGCUCGUGCCGUGAGGUGUCGGCUUAAGUGCCAUAACGAGCGCAACCCUUAUCUUUAGUUACUAACAGGUUAUGCUGAGGACUCUAGAGAGACUGCCGUCGUAAGAUGUGAGGAAGGUGGGGAUGACGUCAAAUCAGCACGGCCCUUACGUCCGGGGCUACACACGUGUUACAAUGGGGGGUACAGAAGGCAGCUAGCGGGUGACCGUAUGCUAAUCCCAAAAUCCUCUCUCAGUUCGGAUCGAAGUCUGCAACCCGACUUCGUGAAGCUGGAUUCGCUAGUAAUCGCGCAUCAGCCACGGCGCGGUGAAUACGUUCCCGGGCCUUGUACACACCGCCCGUCAAGCCAUGGGAGCCGGGGGUACCUGAAGUACGUAACCGCAAGGAUCGUCCUAGGGUAAAACUGGUGACUGGG